AAACCAGAUACACUCAAACUAAUAGAAGAAAAAGUGGGGAAGAAUCUCGAACACAUGGGCACUGGAGGAAAUUUCCUGAACAAAACACCAAUGGCUUAUGCUCUAAGAUCAAGAAUCGACAAAUGGGAUCUCAUAAAACUACAAAGCUCUGUAAGGCAAAGGACACUGUUGUUAGGACAAAACAGCAAUCAACAGAUUGGGAAAAGAUCUUUACCAA
RNAcentral lists this long non-coding RNA (217 nucleotides) under Rattus norvegicus (Norway rat). RNAcentral's name for it is "long non-coding RNA NONRATT012653". The record is from RNAcentral. Lineage: Eukaryota; Metazoa; Chordata; Mammalia; Rodentia; Muridae.